Equus quagga is the source of this 333-nucleotide long non-coding RNA. RefSeq lists it as uncharacterized. Lineage: Eukaryota; Metazoa; Chordata; Mammalia; Perissodactyla; Equidae. The transcript has 3 exons. The record is from RefSeq and is a predicted model, not a curated record.
GCAAGCCGGGGAACGCCUGUCCUCUGGGCUUAGGGAAGGUUUCACAGCCGGGUUGCGUUGGAGUGAGUCUGCAAAGGAUGAAUAAAUCAAGGCACAGAGAAGUUACGGGACUUGGCCAAGGAGAGAUACAGGUGGUGGAACAGAGAUUCAAACUCAGUGCCCAGUUAUUGCCAGAAGAGGAUAAAGUUGGGAACCAGAGUGUGAAGAAAGUGAAUUCCUCCAUCUCUCUUCUUUCAUUUUUGGUCCCCUCUCUGCAUCCUCUGGGAUUCUCCUCCUUCAUCCCAAGCCCUCUAUGUUGAAACACUAACAUGGAGAAUGCAGUGUCAUUCAAGU